UGGGGAAUUUUGGACAAUGGGCGAAAGCCUGAUCCAGCCAUGCCGCGUGAGUGAAGAAGGCCUUCGGGUUGUAAAGCUCUUUUAGUCGGAAAGAAAGUGAUGCAAUGAAUAAUUGUGAUUUAUGACGGUACCGACAGAAUAAGCACCGGCUCACUACGUGCCAGCAGCCGCGGUAAUACGUGGGGUGCGGGCGUUAAUCGGAAUUACUGGGCGUAAAGGGGGCGCAGGCGGUCUUGCAAGUCAGAUGUGAAAGCCCCGGGCUUAACCCGGGAAUUGCGUUUGAAACUACAAGACUAGAGUGCAGGAGAGGGGAGUGGAAUUCCAUGUGUAGCAGUGAAAUGCGUAGAGAUGUGGAAGAACACCGAUGGCGAAGGCAGCUCCCUGGGUUGACACUGACGCUCAUGCACGAAAGCGUGGGGAGCAAACA
Molecule: ribosomal RNA, 427 nt
Filed under: uncultured beta proteobacterium
Lineage: Bacteria; Pseudomonadati; Pseudomonadota; Betaproteobacteria
Description: bacterial SSU rRNA
Rfam family: Bacterial small subunit ribosomal RNA
Source: RNAcentral